CAGACAACCAAAAAGUUUCUAUUAAUGGUAAUACACACAGCCACUAAGAAAGUAUCCAAGUAAUUAUUGUAGCUUAAAACUAAGUGUAGUAUGAGAGUGCUAAAUUAUGAUAAAACACUUCACAACAAUAUUAAGUUUCGACGAUCCAUGAUCCAUUUAAGAACAAGUUAUUAAAGCAUUUGAGUUUAAACAUCAAGCAACAGCCACAGUUUCUGCGGGCUUUGAUUCGGGUUCAGCAGGUGCUUCGGCUUUCCAGAAGGAAGUCUUCUUCCCAGUCUUUGAAACGGUCUGAAGAACCACAUCUGGCUGCACGUUUCCUUUCACUGUAACCUUUUGCUCCUUCAAAUCAAUUUCAUAUGAUUCCACACCUUCCAUUUUCCCCAAAACUCUCUUCACAGCACCAACACAACCUUGACAUGACAUACCAACCUUGAGCACAACAGUCUGAGACAUGGUAAUGGUUGUGUAAAAAAGAGAAGAAUGAAACUUUGAUUUUUUUGGUCUGAUUGAUUCUUCUUGUGUGCGUUUGCGUUGGAGCUUGCAAGUUUCCUGGCAGAGGAAUUAUAUAGACUUUCUACGAUAAAAGAGAGCGAUGAAAGUACAUAC
Molecule: unclassified non-coding RNA, 606 nt
Filed under: Hevea brasiliensis (rubber tree)
Lineage: Eukaryota; Viridiplantae; Streptophyta; Magnoliopsida; Malpighiales; Euphorbiaceae
Source: RNAcentral